UACGUAGGUGGCAAGCGUUGUCCGGAAUCAUUGGGCGUAAAGAGCGUGUAGGCGGCUCGGUAAGUCCGCUGUGAAAGUCCAGGGCUCAACCCUGGAAUGCCGGUGGAAACUGUCGAGCUAGAGUCCGGAAGAGGCGAGUGGAAUUCCUGGUGUAGCGGUGAAAUGCGCAGAUAUCAGGAGGAACACCAAUGGCGAAGGCAGCUCGCUGGGACGGUACUGACGCUGAGACGCGAAAGCGUGGGGAGCGAACAGG
This 253-nucleotide ribosomal RNA is filed under the name uncultured bacterium. RNAcentral's name for it is "partial 16S ribosomal RNA". It matches the Rfam family "Bacterial small subunit ribosomal RNA", at positions 524 to 776 of the family's 1533-position model. The record is from RNAcentral.